UUAACGCGCAGGCCGGAGGCUGGCCCCCCACGAUAGGGCCAAACGUCCGUCAGGGGUGAGCAGAUGUGCGCCGGCCGUACCGCCCCAUUCUUGUCUACCUUACUCGGUUGCCUCGGCGGGCCGCGCUCUUCCAGGAGAGCCGUUCGGCGAGCCUCUCUUUAGUGGCUAAACGCUGGACCGCGCCCGCCGGAGGACAGACGCAAAAAAAUUCUUUCAGAAGAGCUGUCAGUCUGAGCGUUAGCAAGCAAAAAUCAGUUAAAACUUUCAACAACGGAUCUCUUGGUUCCGGCAUCGAUGAAGAACGCAGCGAAAUGCGAUAAGUAAUGUGAAUUGCAGAAUUCCGUGAAUCAUCGAAUCUUUGAACGCACAUUGCGCCCCCUGGCAUUCCGGGGGGCAUGCCUGUUCGAGCGUCAUUUCAGCCCCUCAAGCCCGGCUUGUGUGAUGGACGACCGUCCGGCGCCCCCGUUUUUGGGGGUGCGGGACGCGCCCGAAAAGCAGUGGCCAGGCCGCGAUUCCGGCUUCCUAGGCGAAUGGGCAACAAACCAGCGCCUCCAGGACCGGCCGCCCUGGCCUCAAAAUCUGUUUUAUACUUAUCAGGUU
RNAcentral lists this ribosomal RNA (600 nucleotides) under Trichophyton benhamiae. RNAcentral's name for it is "eukaryotic LSU rRNA". The stretch from base 260 to 413 matches the Rfam family "5.8S ribosomal RNA". Lineage: Eukaryota; Fungi; Ascomycota; Eurotiomycetes; Onygenales; Arthrodermataceae. The record is from RNAcentral.